Long non-coding RNA from Asparagus officinalis (garden asparagus), 907 nucleotides. RefSeq lists it as uncharacterized. Lineage: Eukaryota; Viridiplantae; Streptophyta; Magnoliopsida; Asparagales; Asparagaceae. The record is from RefSeq and is a predicted model, not a curated record. The transcript has 2 exons.
CCUUCCGCCUCCCGCUGUCCAAGACCGACGCCGACGCCCCCCUUCCGCCUCCCGCUGUCUACGCCUCUCCCGCUGUCUACUCCUCCCGCCGUGAUUCCUCCCUCCUCCUCCCGCCUCCCGCUGUCUACGCCUCUCCCUCCCGCCUCCUCCCGCCUCCCGCUGUCGACGCCGGCAUCGACGCCAAGAUAAGGUAAAGUCUGAUUAUCUUUUUUUUAAUCUUUCAGGAGUUUGAAGGUGAUUAAAGAUCAUGCUUGUCAAUGGCUGAUAUGGUUUCUAAUUGAGAGUUCCCGUUGUAAGCAAAGAAAUAAGAUAAAGCAGGAGAAAAUAGCUGGCUUUUCUGUGGAAAACAAAGGUUGCUAUCUUCAUCCGUUUCACAUGGUUAUGAUUCAAAUUAUUUCUUUUAGUAGUUUCGCUUGUUAAAAGGAGAUAAGGUGCAUGUGCAAGCCUGAGCGUGGUUAAUGCUCUGUUUCUCCAGUUCCUGCUCAAAGUAAUUGUUUGUUAUAAAUUUAUUAUAAAAUGAGGAAAUUCAUGAGGUCUAUAUGCUGAUAGGUUCAUGAGAAAGGGGAUUUCCUACAAAGGGUUUGAAAUAUACGAAGAGGUUUUGCUUGAAUGGGAGAAGCACACUAUCGCUCGUGAUCCAGCAUCCAGCUCAAGGCAUGUCCUGACACCAGUUCAAUUUCAACAAACUGUCUUCUUGUAUGUGAUGUGAUUUGUGGAUGAUUCUUCUAUGUGAGGAUAAGCUUGUAUAACUUGGGUCAUUUUGUACUUAGUUUGAACUCAAUUUUCACAAUGCUUGAAGUCAGUUUGUCCUCAAAUGUUAGUUUAUUUGUGGUCAUUUUGUGCUCUGAUUAGUACAUAACUGGUUCAUUUUGUAAUCAAUCAUGAGCUUGCUUGUUUUGUUUCUCAA